RNAcentral lists this unclassified non-coding RNA (86 nucleotides) under Pseudomonas sp. 7SR1. Lineage: Bacteria; Pseudomonadati; Pseudomonadota; Gammaproteobacteria; Pseudomonadales; Pseudomonadaceae. The record is from RNAcentral.
UGUGGGAGCGAGCUUGCUCGCGAUUGCAGUGUGUCAGUCACCCUUGAUAUUGCUGACCCACCAUCGCGAGCGAGUUCGCUCCCACA